UACGUAGGUGGCAAGCGUUGUCCGGAAUUAUUGGGCGUAAAGCGCGCGCAGGUGGUUUCUUAAGUCUGAUGUGAAAGCCCACGGCUCAACCGUGGAGGGUCAUUGGAAACUGGGGAACUUGAGUGCAGAAGAGGAAAGUGGAAUUCCAAGUGUAGCGGUGAAAUGCGUAGAGAUUUGGAGGAACACCGGUGGCGAAGGCGGCAUCCUGGACCAACACUGACACUGAGGAGCGAAAGCCAGGGGAGCAAACGGG
Molecule: ribosomal RNA, 253 nt
Filed under: uncultured bacterium
Lineage: Bacteria
Description: partial 16S ribosomal RNA
Rfam family: Bacterial small subunit ribosomal RNA
Source: RNAcentral